GUUUUAAUCCGACACGACAAAGGUUUGUUAAAACCUUAUAAAAUAGUAAGGAAUAACUUGAGGAUAUGGACCCCACAAAGAAAAGAAUCAGACUAGUAGUUCAUGUAAAUCUGGUACACAGAACGAAUGAUUUUUACCUGAGACUGGCUGACAGGCACAUAAGUCUAUUUGCCUGGAUUUGAAUAUGACAAGGGAUUUGGACAAUUUGUCCUAGCAAGUGUGAAAUACUAACACUGUGUGAUAUUACACUGAAAACAAGCGAUGACAAGCUGUAUACAGUCAGCGAGAUUAAGUUUAUUACAAGAUGUUUAACCUCCUAUUGACCCUUCUCUACGUAUUUCCUUUAAGGUUCAAUUACUAAUGUAGAAGAUGCGGGGAAUGCAUUUCCUCACAAACAGACAAUCCAAUGUGAUGAUCUGGUCAUUCGUUUAUGAUUCCUGGGGUCUGGCCGUCCAUCUUGGCAUCCAGCGAUUGGUCUUCUAAUCCCAUACA
Molecule: long non-coding RNA, 492 nt
Organism: Daphnia carinata
Lineage: Eukaryota; Metazoa; Arthropoda; Branchiopoda; Diplostraca; Daphniidae
Exons: 3
Source: RefSeq, a predicted model, not a curated record